CAAGGGCGCAUCGCGCUCAUGACCACUGGUGCCAUCGCCCUCUGACCCCAAAUCCCCAAGUGGAACAUUCGUGCUGGAAACAGCAAGAUGCCCCCCAUUUGCAGUGACUGUCGUUGAAUUUCAACAACAGCCCGGCCUCCGAUGCGCGACCGGUGAGGAGGAGGACCCCCCCGCCAACUGUUGACAGAACUGCUCGUCAUAUUUCCACCAUCCCAGACUGCCAUAGGUACGACAAGC
Non-coding RNA from Pelobates cultripes (western spadefoot toad), 237 nucleotides. Lineage: Eukaryota; Metazoa; Chordata; Amphibia; Anura; Pelobatidae. The record is from the annotation of a GenBank genome assembly.